Molecule: ribosomal RNA, 292 nt
Filed under: uncultured bacterium
Lineage: Bacteria
Description: partial 16S ribosomal RNA
Rfam family: Bacterial small subunit ribosomal RNA
Source: RNAcentral
GUGCCAGCCGCCGCGGUAAUACGAAGGGUGCAAGCGUUAAUCGGAAUUACUGGGCGUAAAGCGCGCGUAGGUGGUUCAGUAAGUUGGAUGUGAAAUCCCCGGGCUCAACCUGGGAACUGCAUCCAAAACUGCUGAGCUAGAGUACGGUAGAGGGUAGUGGAAUUUCCUGUGUAGCGGUGAAAUGCGUAGAUAUAGGAAGGAACACCAGUGGCGAAGGCGACUACCUGGACUGAUACUGACACUGAGGUGCGAAAGCGUGGGGAGCAAACAGGAUUAGAAACCCUAGUAGUCC